AGCAGCCGCGGUAAUUCCAGCUUCAAUAGCGUAUAUUAAAGUUGUUGCAGUUAAAAAGCUCGUAGUUGAAUUUCGGGGUCAGUAGGUUGGUCGUGCCACUGGUAUGUACUGGCCUCACUGAUUCCUCCUUCCUGAUGAACCGUAAUGCCAUUAAUUUGGUGUUGCGGGGAAUCUGGACUGUUACUUUAGAAAAAUUAGAGUGUUUAAAGCAGGCUAACGCUUGAAUACAUUAGCAUGGAAUAAUGGAAUAGGACGUUCGAUCCUAUUUUGUUGGUUUCUAGGAUUGACGUAAUGAUUAAUAGGGAUAGUUGGGGGCAUUAGUAUUCAAUUGUCAGAGGUGAAAUUCUUGGAUUUAUUGAAAGACUAACUACUGCGAAAGCAUUUGCCAAGGAUGUUUUCAUUAAUCAAGAACGAAAGUUAGGGGAUCGAAGACGAUCAGAUACCGUCGUAGUCUUAACCAUAAACUAUGCCGACUAGGGAUCGGAUGGAUGUUAAUUUUUUAAUGUACUCAUUCGGCGCC
This 520-nucleotide ribosomal RNA is filed under the name uncultured Glomeromycotina. RNAcentral describes it as "SSU rRNA". It matches the Rfam family "Eukaryotic small subunit ribosomal RNA", at positions 569 to 1087 of the family's 1831-position model. Lineage: Eukaryota; Fungi; Glomeromycota. The record is from RNAcentral.